Molecule: non-coding RNA, 569 nt
Organism: Lolium perenne
Lineage: Eukaryota; Viridiplantae; Streptophyta; Magnoliopsida; Poales; Poaceae
Source: RefSeq, a predicted model, not a curated record
AUGAUUUCUAAAAGUCAUAAUAUUUGAAUAGGUUAAUUCAUUCCCGGUUCUCCACCAACACUUUUCUCAGCUGGGACCGUGCACAGCCAAUUCGUGUCUUAGACUCUUAGGCCACAAUCGAGAGAUCAGUACAUUCAAAGGGAACAAGAAUUGGAUGAAAGCUCGUGGGGCCUCUUGAAGUGUGAGAAGCGUGGCCUAUCAGAUUCAGGCGCAUUCGAUGGUGUUCUUGAGCUCCUUAUCCGAGGUCGAUGAAGCCUGCCAGAAGCCGUAAUUAUGAUGAUUUCUGAGGCGUGGCAGAAUGAUGUAAACAUGGAACCUGAGAAGAGAGCCCUCUACGAGUUGAGCCUUGGGAUGGGCCUGCUCUAAUAUCUUGUAAUUUUCUUAACCCAUUUCCUGAUGGAUUACUUGAGCUAGCUUCGGUUUCACCAUUAGUUACUGAUAGUGGUUACCUUGGAGCUACCCUCGACCACAUGGCAUGAGGCUUGGUCGAUUUUACGUGACCGACAGUGGACGUGUAGUCAUGGGUUGUGAAGUUGGUGUUGUGGAUAUUCCUACUGAGGAUGUACUGA